UUGGAGGGCAGUCUGGUGCCAGCAGCCGCGGUAAUUCCAGCUCCAAUAGCGUAUAUUAAAGUUGUUGCAGUUAAAAAGCUCGUAGUUGAACCUUGGGUCUGGCUGGCCGGUCCGCCUCACCGCGAGUACUGGUCCGGCUGGACCUUUCCUUCUGGGGAACCUCAUGGCCUUCACUGGCUGUGGGGGGAACCAGGACUUUUACUGUGAAAAAAUUAGAGUGUUCAAAGCAGGCCUUUGCUCGAAUACAUUAGCAUGGAAUAAUAGAAUAGGA
Molecule: ribosomal RNA, 271 nt
Filed under: uncultured Ascomycota
Lineage: Eukaryota; Fungi; Ascomycota
Description: partial 18S ribosomal RNA
Rfam family: Eukaryotic small subunit ribosomal RNA
Source: RNAcentral